Molecule: small nucleolar RNA, 107 nt
Filed under: Cephalotus follicularis
Lineage: Eukaryota; Viridiplantae; Streptophyta; Magnoliopsida; Oxalidales; Cephalotaceae
Description: Plant small nucleolar RNA R71
Rfam family: Plant small nucleolar RNA R71
About the family: R71 is a member of the C/D box family of snoRNAs containing the C (UGAUGA) and D (CUGA) box motifs.
Source: Rfam by way of RNAcentral
AAACCGUGAUGAGGACACUCUAAGACGAGGUCCUUAAAAUGUUCCAUACAUCGACAGAAUGAUUCAUUGGGUCUCUGGCGAAACUUAAGGAUGUCGUUCCUAAGCUU